CUGAGAUUCGAGUCGACUCCAGUGGAACGCGAGUCGACUCCCAGCGGUACACAAAGAAAAAGUCAGAGAACGUUUUUAUGGACUCUGAGAUUCGAGUCGACUCCAGUGGAACGCGAGUCGACUCCCAGCGGUACACAAAGAAAAAGUCAGAGAGUGUUUUAUGGACUCUGAGAUUCGAGUCGACUCCCAGACAGCUCGAGUCGACUCCAAGACAAGCUUCACGACAAAAGGCAGAAGACCAACUUUUGGAAACUGAGAGCCGAGUCGACUCCAAGGAAGUUCGAGUCGACUCCAAGACUGGAUGAGCCAAAAGACAGAGAAUCGGGAGUUCGGGCUCUGAGAUUCGAGUCGACUCCCAGGACAGCCGAGUCGACUCGAGUGGACAAAAUUCAAAUUUGGAUCCACGGACUUCAGUGGAUGAGCCGACUCCAAAAUUGCCAGGUCAGCGCCAGAAGUUGGCGAGUCGACUCCGGGUCGAGACGAGUCGACUCCCAGUCAAGACGGCAACUUUAAUUCAAACUUGGAACAGUUGCCGAGUCGACUCCGGAAAAGCUCGAGUCGACUCCUGCUACAGCCGAGUCGACUCCUGAUCGCGCGAGUCGACUCCAACCCACCAACGGUCACAGUGUCAGGCUGCGCAGAGUGUGCAGAACGGCCAGAAAAAGCAGAGUAACGGCUAGUUUCCGUGGGGGUUGGCUUAAAUAGCCCCAGAAGACUGUAGCAAGGUAGAGAAUAGACAUUCCACUCCAAGCAUUCAAGUUUCCAAGCUCUCCAAGUGCUCUUCAACGAGAAAAAGGGAAGAUCUGCAUUUACUGCUUCAACAACUUCUUCCCAGCAUUCAAAGCUUCCUCCUCCUGCAUUCAAGUCGGCCACUCUUUCAAGAGGAGACCGGAGUUCCAGAAGCCAUACCUCUUCACCAGUUUAAAAGCGUUUGAGGGCUUCUAAACUCCUUUACGUUUAUAUUGUUUAAAUCUGCUUAUUGAGAAGCUAUUUUCUGUUUUCUUCUAUUUCUUGUAU
This 1017-nucleotide long non-coding RNA is filed under the name Phoenix dactylifera (date palm). RNAcentral describes it as "long non-coding RNA (PDAC_LNC006018)". Lineage: Eukaryota; Viridiplantae; Streptophyta; Magnoliopsida; Arecales; Arecaceae. The record is from RNAcentral.